RNAcentral lists this ribosomal RNA (393 nucleotides) under uncultured bacterium. RNAcentral's name for it is "bacterial SSU rRNA". It matches the Rfam family "Bacterial small subunit ribosomal RNA", at positions 30 to 424 of the family's 1533-position model. The record is from RNAcentral.
ACUGAACGCUGGCGGCAUGCUUUACACAUGCAAGUCGAACGGCAGCACGGGUGCUUGCACCUGGUGGCGAGUGGCGAACGGGUGAGUAAUGCAUCGGAACGUGCCCAUGAGUGGGGGAUAGCCCGGCGAAAGCCGGAUUAAUACCGCAUAUUCUGUGAGCAGGAAAGCAGGGGAUCGCAAGACCUUGCGCUGAUUGAGCGGCCGAUGUCAGAUUAGCUAGUUGGUGAGGUAAAGGCUCACCAAGGCGACGAUCUGUAGCGGGUCUGAGAGGAUGAUCCGCCACACUGGAACUGAGACACGGUCCAGACUCCUACGGGAGGCAGCAGUGGGGAAUUUUGGACAAUGGGGCAACCCUGAUCUAGCCAUGCCGCGUGAGUGAAGAAGGCCUCGGUU